GAUGAACGCUGGCGGCGUGCCUAAUACAUGCAAGUCGAGCGAAUGGAUUAAGAGCUUGCUCUUAUGAAGUUAGCGGCGGACGGGUGAGUAACACGUGGGUAACCUGCCCAUAAGACUGGGAUAACUCCGGGAAACCGGGGCUAAUACCGGAUAACAUUUUGAACCGCAUGGUUCGAAAUUGAAAGGCGGCUUCGGCUGUCACUUCUGGAUGGACCCGCGUCGCAUUAGCUAGUUGGUGGGGUAACGGCUCACCAAGGCAACGAUGCGUAGCCGGCCUGGGAGGGUGAUCGGGCACACUGGGACUGAGACGCGGCCAAGACUCCUACGGGAGGCAGCAGUAGGGAAUCUUCCGCAAUGGGCGAAAGUCUGACGGAGCAACGCCGCGUGAGUGAUGAAGGCUUUCGGGUCGUAAAACUCUGUUGUUAGGGAAGAACAAGUGCUAGUUGAAUAAGCUGGCACCUUGACGGUACCUAACCAGAAAGCCACGGCUAACUACGUGCCAGCCGCCGCCGUAA
Molecule: ribosomal RNA, 515 nt
Filed under: uncultured bacterium
Lineage: Bacteria
Description: partial 16S ribosomal RNA
Rfam family: Bacterial small subunit ribosomal RNA
Source: RNAcentral